ACUCCUACGGGAGGCAGCAGUGGGGAAUAUUGCACAAUGGGGGAAACCCGUAGAUGCAGCCAUGCCGCGUGUGUGAAGAAGGCCUUCGGGUUGUAAAGCACUUUCAGUAGGGAGGAAGGUAGUGUAGUUAACACCUGCAUUAUUUGACGUUACCUACAGAAGAAGCACCGGCUAACUCCGUGCCAGCAGCCGCGGUAAUACGGAGGGUGCAAGCGUUAAUCGGAAUUACUGGGCGUAAAGCGUGCGCAGGCGGUCUGUUAAGCGAGAUGUGAAAGCCCCGGGCUCAACCUGGGAACUGCAUUUCGAACUGGCAGACUAGAGUCUUGUAGAGGGGGGUAGAAUUCCAGGUGGUAGCGGUGAAAUGCGUAGAGAUCUGGAGGAAUACCGGUGGCGAAGGCGGCCCCCUGGCA
RNAcentral lists this ribosomal RNA (410 nucleotides) under uncultured bacterium. Its description in RNAcentral is "bacterial SSU rRNA". It matches the Rfam family "Bacterial small subunit ribosomal RNA", at positions 335 to 735 of the family's 1533-position model. The record is from RNAcentral.